Molecule: ribosomal RNA, 549 nt
Filed under: Eulaema meriana
Lineage: Eukaryota; Metazoa; Arthropoda; Insecta; Hymenoptera; Apidae
Description: eukaryotic LSU rRNA
Source: RNAcentral
GUCAACGGUGCUGGCUCCCGUUGGUGCGCGAUGCCACGAAUGUGACUAUGUUCCACUUCGAGGGCACACCACCUUCAGCUUGAAUGUUCCGGCGCCGUUGUCGUGAACUUCUCCCCUANUAGAAGGCCACCCGUUGCGUGUCGGUCUACGGCCCGAGUGGGCGCCUGUCACGUCGCUUCGUGCAUUCGUGGCAGACCCUCGGUNGCCUGGCCGGCUGCGCGACGGUACUCGCACGGUAUCGGGCCGCAACCAAGUCUUGAAUGUAUGGGCAUCAGGCCCGCCGCAAGCUCGAUUAGUUCUUACCCGGAGGUACGGACCUCGUUCCGUCCCCGGGCCUGGUCAGCUGUUAGCAGGCGGUGUCCUCGGACUCUCCAAAACAUGAAUCACCGGUCCGCGACGCUAUUGCUUUGGGUACUCUCAGUACCCGUCUUGAAACACGGACCAAGUAGUCUAACUUGUGCGCGAGUCAUUGGGAUAUAUAAACCUAAUGUCGAAAUGAAAGUGGAAAUCGGCCUCCGUGCCGAUCGAUGGAGGGUGGGCCGCGUAACG